RNAcentral lists this ribosomal RNA (756 nucleotides) under Russula puiggarii. Its description in RNAcentral is "eukaryotic LSU rRNA". It matches the Rfam family "Eukaryotic large subunit ribosomal RNA", at positions 166 to 895 of the family's 3401-position model. Lineage: Eukaryota; Fungi; Basidiomycota; Agaricomycetes; Russulales; Russulaceae. The record is from RNAcentral.
CGCGCUGGACCGUGCACAAGUCUCCUGGAAUGGAGCGUCAUAGAGGGUGAGAAUCCCGUCUUUGGCAUGGAUCCCAGGGCUUCUGUGAUGCGCUCUCGACGAGUCGAGUUGUUUGGGAAUGCAGCUCAAAAUGGGUGGUGAACUCCAUCUAAAGCUAAAUAUUGGCGAGAGACCGAUAGCGAACAAGUACCGUGAGGGAAAGAUGAAAAGCACUUUGGAAAGAGAGUGAAACAGUACGUGAAAUUGUUGAAAGGGAAACGCUUGAAGUCAGUCGCGUUGACCGAGACUCAACCUUGCCUUGGCUUGGUGUAUUUCUCGGCUGACGGGUCAGCAUCAAUUUUGACCCUCAGAUAAUGGCAAGGGAAAGGUGGCACCUUUUAGGUGUGUUAUAGUCCCAUGUCGCAUGUGAGGGUUGGGAUUGAGGAACUCAGCAUGCACCUCCGGGUGUCGGGGCUUUGGCCCACGUUACAUGCUUAGGAUGCUGGCGUAAUGGCUUUAAACGACCCGUCUUGAAACACGGACCAAGGAGUCUAACAUACCCGCGAGUGUUCGGGUGGAAAACCCGUGCGCGUAAUGAAAGUAAAAGUUGGGACCUCUGUCGUGGAGGGCACCGACGCCCGGACCAGACCUUCUGUGACGGCUCUGCGGUAGAGCGUGUAUGUUGGGACCCGAAAGAUGGUGAACUAUGCCUUGAAUAAGGGUGAAGCCAGAGGAAACUCCUUGGUGGAAGGCUCCGUAACGGAUUCUUGACGUGGC